Molecule: ribosomal RNA, 817 nt
Filed under: Hymenoscyphus caudatus
Lineage: Eukaryota; Fungi; Ascomycota; Leotiomycetes; Helotiales; Helotiaceae
Description: partial small subunit ribosomal RNA
Rfam family: Bacterial small subunit ribosomal RNA
Source: RNAcentral
UGUCUAUUCUGCGUGAUUAGGGAAAUGAGGUUAAGUAUAUAUCUUAUUUCUACGGACAGGUGUAAGAUCGAUUUUAUCGAAUAAAAUUCUAGAUAGGAUACUGAUUAUGACAAUUUUCUAUCUAUAUGUCUUGACCAAAAUACGUGCCAGCAGUCGCGGCAAUACGUAGAAGACUAGUGUUAUUCAUCUUUAAUAGGUUUAAAGGGUACCUAGACGGUUUAAUUAGUCUUAAAUAAGAAACGAUUAGACUAGAGUUAUAUAUGAGGAGGGGAGUAUUUAUGGAGUAGAGUUGAAAUUCAGUAAUACCAUGAAGACUGAUAACGGCGAAAGCAACCUUUUAUCUAAUAACUGACGUUGAGGGACGAAGGCUCGGGUAGCGAACAGGAUUAGAUACCCUAGUAGUCCAAGCAGAAAAUUAUGAAUGCCAUAGAUUAGAUUCACUAUCUUUUUAUACUUUUAGCUAUAUUGAGAUAUCUUUUGCUUUUUUGGCUUUUUCUACUACGUAGAAAAAAGCCUGAAAAAAAAAGAUACUUUUUUCUUGCAGUGGCCAUAUCAUGCUUCUUGCGAAGCAUAAGUAAGCCAAAGCUUGAAAAAAAGGGGUGUUUUAUAUUUAGUCUAUAAAUGAAAGUGUAAGCAUUUCACCUCAAGAGUAAUGUGGCAACACAGGAACUGAAAUCAUUAGACCGUUUCUGAAACCAGUAGUGAAGUAUGUUAUUUAAUUCGUAGUUACGCGAAAAACCUUACCACAAUUUGAAUAUUAUCUUAAUACUAACAUUGUUAGUAGAAAGAUAUUACAAGCGUUGCACGGCUGUCUGCA